AUGGACCGGAUAGCUGAGCUAAAAGGGAUAGGUGGAGCUCCAUUUAGGAAGAGGGAACAAGCGAGCUUGUCAGCAAAGCUCUUUGUACUCACCAGAAGGUCAUUUGUGAAUAUGCACAGGGGCAUAGGAUACUACUGGAUGCGCUUGGGUGUUUACCUGGGCAUUGGCAUUUGUCUUGGCACCAUAUUCUACCAAGUUGGCCAUAGUUACAGUUCCAUCCAGGUAUUCAGAAGGGAGAGGCCGAGUGGCCAUUACGGUGUGGAGGAGUUUGUGAUCUCACACACAUUGUCAGCCACUCCAUACCUUGCCGUCAUCGCUGUGAUCCCUGGCAGAAUGAUGUACUACCUUACCGGGCUAAUGAAAGGACCUGGCAGCUUCACCUACUUCGUCGUCAACCUAUGCAUGUGCACACUGCUGGUGGAGAGCAUGAUGAUGAUCAUUGCCAUCAUCGUCCCAGUCUUCCUGAUGGGGAUCAUCGUCGAGGCUGGGGUGCAAGGGAUUUGCAGAAAACCUUUCUUGAUUCUUGCUUUACCAUGGAGGUUGUCUACAAGGAUUCAAAAGACGACGAUUUGCUUCAACUGCAUUUGGAAGCAGCUGCUGGGAGCAUGGAAACCAUUCUGUUGUCUUACCAUCAAUUACAAUUACGGUCGGUGGGGCUGGUCGCCUUGGAUCUGCGAGAUGCCUUCGCAUCGGCAUGACGCUGGUAAGUUUAUGAUUUUGUUUGCGGAGAGGUUUAAUCGUUUCAACCGAUUCAAAUGCAAAAGGGAGUGUACUACCAGGUUGGCUAGAGGCUUGAUAUGGUUGGGGACAAAUGGGGUACGGCUCAGAUCCAAGACCUUAGGCAUGGACGCCAUGGACAUCUUAGGCAUGGACGCCAUGGACAUUGGUGUGAUUUGUGACGAGGGAUCUCCAGGUUCAACAUCGUCAAGGACAAGAACACCUGAACCUAGAGUAAUCUUCUAA
RNAcentral lists this ribosomal RNA (963 nucleotides) under Triticum aestivum (bread wheat). RNAcentral's name for it is "partial small subunit ribosomal RNA". The record is from RNAcentral. Lineage: Eukaryota; Viridiplantae; Streptophyta; Magnoliopsida; Poales; Poaceae.